Molecule: ribosomal RNA, 892 nt
Filed under: uncultured bacterium
Lineage: Bacteria
Description: bacterial SSU rRNA
Rfam family: Bacterial small subunit ribosomal RNA
Source: RNAcentral
GUGCCAGCAGCCGCGGUAAUACGUAGGUGGCAAGCGUUGUCCGGAUUUAUUGGGCGUAAAGCGAGCGCAGGCGGUUUCUUAAGUCUGAUGUGAAAGCCUUCGGCUCAACCGAAGAAGUGCAUCGGAAACUGGGAAACUUGAGUGCAGAAGAGGACAGUGGAACUCCAUGUGUAGCGGUGAAAUGCGUAGAUAUAUGGAAGAACACCAGUGGCGAAGGCGGCUGUCUGGUCUGUAACUGACGCUGAGGCUCGAAAGCAUGGGUAGCAAACAGGAUUAGAUACCCUGGUAGUCCAUGCCGUAAACGAUGAGUGCUAGGUGUUGGAGGGUUUCCGCCCUUCAGUGCCGCAGCUAACGCAUUAAGCACUCCGCCUGGGGAGUACGACCGCAAGGUUGAAACUCAAAGGAAUUGACGGGGGCCCGCACAAGCGGUGGAGCAUGUGGUUUAAUUCGAAGCAACGCGAAGAACCUUACCAGGUCUUGACAUCCUUUGACCACUCUAGAGAUAGAGCUUUCCCUUCGGGGACAAAGUGACAGGUGGUGCAUGGUUGUCGUCAGCUCGUGUCGUGAGAUGUUGGGUUAAGUCCCGCAACGAGCGCAACCCUUAUUACUAGUUGCCAGCAUUAGGUUGGGCACUCUAGUGAGACUGCCGGUGACAAACCGGAGGAAGGUGGGGACGACGUCAAAUCAUCAUGCCCCUUAUGACCUGGGCUACACACGUGCUACAAUGGAUGGUACAACGAGUUGCGAGACCGCGAGGUUUAGCUAAUCUCUUAAAACCAUUCUCAGUUCGGAUUGUAGGCUGCAACUCGCCUACAUGAAGCCGGAAUCGCUAGUAAUCGCGGAUCAGCAUGCCGCGGUGAAUACGUUCCCGGGCCUUGUACACACCGCCCGU